RNAcentral lists this long non-coding RNA (1078 nucleotides) under Pogona vitticeps (central bearded dragon). RNAcentral describes it as "lncRNA (ENSPVIG00000002650.1)". The record is from RNAcentral. Lineage: Eukaryota; Metazoa; Chordata; Lepidosauria; Squamata; Agamidae.
GGUCUUCCGGAUGCUCGUAGAGGAGUGGAACUAUACUGAAGUUUAAAACGGGCUUUUGUGUGGGGAGGCUCCCUAAGACAGAAGGCAUUGGGGAACCCACCACCAGGUCUGUCUGUGAAAUGUGUCAUUUUGGCCCCUGUUUCAAUCCCCCACUUCUCCUUUGGCAGAUUCCUGUGGGUCUCUUUUUGGCCUUCAUUCACAAGCUUGUUGGCUCCUUCUGCGAGGCCAGAGCACGAGGGGAGCCCUUGCCCAGUCCGCCCUCUGCCCCAAAGGGUGCUGAGAGCUGAGCCCGUCCCCUUGCCGUGAUAGACAUAUGUCCUGCAGACAUAGGCAAGAGCCAGGAUUUUCCGUGCCGUUCACGACUGGUGAUUUAUUUCUCCCUCUUCCUGGCCGUCAGAGGCAUGAGACUGCGGUGGGAUCAAGGAGAGUGCAUAACCAGCCAGUGGCUUGAAUGAAAACCCACUCAAUAACUUUGAUAAAGAAUCACAUUAAAACAGGAGAGGUGGUUUUUGUGGCUGUUUGCAUCGAACCGGCAGUUCACACUCUUUUCCUGCAUGUGUCGUUCCUCCCGAGGGAUACCUGCUCAAGUCUUUGUUAGGAACUGUUUGUGAAACAUUGUGUAUAUUUCUGCCUCUUUUUUCCCCCCCAGCCUUUCUGGAAUUCCAGUCUGUGAGGAAAGGGUGUGCCCGCCAGCUGUACCCUCCAGAAUCCAUUUCGAUCAACUCGCAUCUCAUAUCUCUCUCGUAUCAAGCCCGUUACUGUGCCGAGGACGGCUGUAACAACGAGACCUACUUCGUCUCUCACCCGCCCCCUGCUAAUCACAUGAGAUGUCAUACCUGCGCCUCCCAGGGCGCCUGGUGCCCCGAAACGUCCCGCACUCAGAUCACCUGCGUCGGAGAUCAAGACCAGUGCGUGGAUAUGGACAUCACAGGAAAACUGGGUGAGUCGGGAAGCCGAGUGACAGAGUCCCCUUGCCAAAAAUAUCGAUAAGCACAGAGAUAAAUCCGCCGUCAUUCAAAGCCAGACUGUUCAGAGGGAUAAUGUCCUGGCCCUGGACAGAGAAAUCUGCUAGCCAAGU